Molecule: non-coding RNA, 142 nt
Organism: Papio anubis (olive baboon)
Lineage: Eukaryota; Metazoa; Chordata; Mammalia; Primates; Cercopithecidae
Source: Rfam
GCUGGGUGUGGUGGUGCACACCUGUGGUCCCAGCAACUUGGGAGGCUGAGGUGAGAGGAUCUCUUGAGCCUAGGAGGUUGCAGUGAACCAUGAUUGUGCCACUGCACUCCAGCCUGGGUAACAAAGUGAGACCUCAUCUCAA